This 115-nucleotide ribosomal RNA is filed under the name Thalassotalea euphylliae. Lineage: Bacteria; Pseudomonadati; Pseudomonadota; Gammaproteobacteria; Alteromonadales; Colwelliaceae. The record is from RNAcentral.
GCUGGUGACCAUAGCUUUGUAGAACCACCUGAUCCCUUGCCGAACUCAGAAGUGAAAUGCAAAUGCGCCGAUGGUAGUGUGGGAGUUCCCAUGUGAGAGUAGGACAUUACCAGCA